GACCCCCGGGGCUUUGCUGCAGGGAGUCUCCUUCUUGAGGUGUCUCCUUGAGGACUGAGAGAGAAUUGCGAGAGCGGAGCGGGGACGGGCGGGGUGAACUCGGUCUCUGGGCGGCGCGUGGGGCCGGUGUGGACGGGAGGGAAGAGGGCGGCAGGGCCGAGGGCGAGAUUCCCAGCCCCCGUCGAGCGCUGGGGAGCGAGGGCUCCGGCUCGGCUCUCGCAGCGGCUCUGGCGAGGAAUGGUGCCGGAGCUCUCGCCGGAGGGGAACACGGCAGGAGGGGGCCUGAGCCGCUUGGGCCUCUUUCCAAGGAGGCGGAACCAGGCCUCCGCUCUCUGCCCUCUGCAGACCUGGCUGCGAGGUCAGUGCUUCCAGUUCCUCGUCCGCACUCGCUGUCGUCCUCCUCACCGGCCGUGGGCGUCCUCGCCGGGGACGGGGCUCGGGGGGGUUAAGCCUGGGGAGGGGCCAGAGUCUCCUGAGCAGAGUGACUCUGUGGGGUGCCGUUAGAAAAGGGGCUUUUUGGUUGUGAUGCUCAAGGUGUAAUGGGAGGAGAGUGGAGGGCAGAUCCCCGCCGUGUGGGAGAGGCAAACAGAGGAGCCUACGAGACGUUGCCGACUGAGAUGGUAACUUACUUUUUUUUUCACCUUGUGCUGGGUUUAGUACCAAGGAAAAAGAAGUCAAGCCUCAGAGUCUACUGCCCUCAUGCGACGGAAAGUGAGUGAGAGCAGCGAGCCUGUGACCGUUGGUGAUGCCAGGCAAGAGCCCUCCAUCUGGGAGCCGAGCAAUCGCCAGUCUCGGUGAGGACACGGGUAGGUGUGCAUUCCCACAGGUGAGGUCUCGGGAGCCAUGGAGAAGUC
Molecule: long non-coding RNA, 854 nt
Organism: Chelonia mydas (Green sea turtle)
Lineage: Eukaryota; Metazoa; Chordata; Testudines; Cheloniidae
Exons: 2
Source: RefSeq, a predicted model, not a curated record